CGAGAGGGAGAUUUCGUCGAGCAGGGCUGUGAGCAGAAGUAACUCGAAACAAAGCGAUAGUCGUGCUUCCGCUGCUGCUCAUCCCUGGCUGUAAAUCACAAGAAAAAAAAAAUUGUAAAAAAAGUGAGAGAAACAAACAAAAAAAAAAACAAGUUUUGUUAGUUCGUAUCAACGAUAAUUCAUACCUCUUUUCGUCUCUGUGCGUGAUGUGCGUCAAAGCUUCCAACAAGAAGAAAAAAUAGAACUUUUGUCAGAGUGACUUGUUCUUCCUUGACUUCUUCAGGCUCACGAGCGUUCGCCCAGGGUCUUGGGCUCACGAGCCUUCGGUCCUUCUGGAAUGGCUGCUUGCAAAUCUAGUGAGCUGCUAGCACGGAACUACACGGGAGUACCUGGAUUGUUCGAUGUUCUUCCAGAUGGAUCCGUUAUAAGGUCCGAUAUCCUCUCUCCUUCCAUAGCUGCAAACUCGAGUAGCUUCACGCGAGAUGUGCUCGUAG
This 494-nucleotide long non-coding RNA is filed under the name Selaginella moellendorffii. RNAcentral describes it as "long non-coding RNA (SMOE_LNC000926)". The record is from RNAcentral. Lineage: Eukaryota; Viridiplantae; Streptophyta; Lycopodiopsida; Selaginellales; Selaginellaceae.